CUGAGGUACCGGUGUCUGCUGAGCCCCCUUGGAACUUCAGAGUGGCUCAUGAAAGGAAAAUGGGAAAGAAGUCAUUCUCCAACAGCAAAUAUUUUUAAAAAUUAUUUCUACGUAAUGUACAUUUAACAUUUCAAAGGAUCAGCUGUUAAAGCAAGCUAUUGCCAAAUAUAGAUUCAUGAAAUUAGAAGACAUAUAGCCCUCCGACCUUCAAAUAGAAUGCAAUUUAUGUCUCUCAACAAAGCACAGAUAUAAAGGUGCUCUCUCUCCUGAAGUCAUCAUAUCAGAACUUCAGACAAGAACAGCUCAAUGGAUGUGGAUGACAGGCACAUCGAGAGGAGUCCCAAGACUUAGUUCUUAUGGAUUUUCAGCUCACCUAAACAAAUUAUCUAAUUCAUUUCAUGAUUGACCAGAUAAAAAAGUAUCUCUAGUGGGCAUCUUUGCUUAUGUCUACAUUUGCUGAAUCUGUAGGACCUGAAGGGUUUCCAUGCUUACCUGACUCCAUCUCAGCUCGUGCUGGUUCCACACAAGAUCCCUGGCUCUGUAAGAAGCAGAUUCCACUUCUUUGACUCAGCAUCCACACACAUAACUCAUUCAUAAACUGAACAGCUCUAAGUCUCCACCUUCAAAGAAGCAACUGCUUUUCCUACAACUAAGAUAGUCAGCCACAGCCUUGCUAGGUGUUCACUAACCAUUCCAUUUACCUUCAGCAAAGCCUGCAUUUCCCAGUGUUCUUUGCAUCCAGAUCUGUGACUAGUUCUGAUCUAAGAAACUUGGACACAGUGAUGUUUGCCUCUUAUGGAACUGACUCUCGAGCUCCUGCCAUGGUAACUCACUCCCACAGUCAACUCUUCACCACCAUUAGCUUCCACAAACUAUGAGACUUCACCUUCACUUCAGUGCCACAGGGAAGAAGAGGGGAGCCUAGGGGAUAGACCUGAACUCUCUUUUUGUCUAAAUCUGUUCAAAUGUCUUCGGUGUUGAUCCAGCUACCUCCUGUGAAGCAGCCCCUUCCAUAUCUCCCAAGGGAAAUUGGCCCACCUGGGGACCAUGAACAUCUUCACUCCUGUGGCCUUCUGCUCUCCUGAGGUGCAUUCCAAUCUAGUCUAUCUUUUUGACUUAAAUGAAGUUUUCUCAAUACGUUGCAGUCUGUGUGAGUUUU
Peromyscus eremicus (cactus mouse) is the source of this 1159-nucleotide long non-coding RNA. RefSeq lists it as uncharacterized. The record is from RefSeq and is a predicted model, not a curated record. The transcript is spliced from 4 exons. Lineage: Eukaryota; Metazoa; Chordata; Mammalia; Rodentia; Cricetidae.